Molecule: ribosomal RNA, 548 nt
Filed under: uncultured Micrococcus sp.
Lineage: Bacteria; Bacillati; Actinomycetota; Actinomycetes; Micrococcales; Micrococcaceae
Description: bacterial SSU rRNA
Rfam family: Bacterial small subunit ribosomal RNA
Source: RNAcentral
CCCGACUCGGCCGCGUCGACACGACCGCAAGGUUGAACGUCAAGGAAUUGACGGGGCCGCGACAAGCGUGGAGCAUGUGGUUUAAUUCGAAGCAACGCGAAGAACCUUACCAGGUCUUGACAUCCCGGUGCCCGUCCUAGAGAUACGGUUUCCCCUUUGGGGCGGGUUCGACAGGUGGUGCAUGGUUGUCGUCAGCUCGUGUCGUGAGAUGUUGGGUUAAGUCCCGCAACGAGCGCAACCCUCGUUCCAUGUUGCCAGCACGUCGUGGUGGGGACUCAUGGGAGACUGCCGGGGUCAACUCGGAGGAAGGUGAGGACGACGUCAAAUCAUCAUGCCCCUUAUGUCUUGGGCUUCACGCAUGCUACAAUGGCCGGUACAAUGGGUUGCGAUACUGUGAGGUGGAGCUAAUCCCAAAAAGCCGGUCUCAGUUCGGAUUGGGGUCUGCAACUCGACCCCAUGAAGUCGGAGUCGCUAGUAAUCGCAGAUCAGCAACGCUGCGGUGAAUACCGUUCCCGGGCCUUGUACACACCGCCCCGUCGACGCGGCCG